Long non-coding RNA from Urocitellus parryii (Arctic ground squirrel), 426 nucleotides. RefSeq lists it as uncharacterized. The record is from RefSeq and is a predicted model, not a curated record. Lineage: Eukaryota; Metazoa; Chordata; Mammalia; Rodentia; Sciuridae.
GCCGCCCGGAGGGAGCCGGGAGAACGGCCGCGGCGGCCGAGCAUCCCCGACGCCCCUGCUUUCUCACCUGGGCUCGUGGAGAGUGCGAUCUUAGUCUCCUGCCUCACUUGAAACGGUUAGCAAGAGUAAGUUCCACCAGUCCACCAUUUGGUCUUCACAGGCAAGCCAAGGUCUUCAGGUUAAACCACACCUCCUGCAGUUCCAUCUACAGACAUGCCRUGAAGUGGAGUGAAACACAGGUGAAAGGAGCCCACUUGGCCUUCCAUCCACUGGACAGGUCUUCCAAAUCCAUUGGAAAAGAAAUGAAGCAACAAGCAGAAAAUUAAGAUUUGGUUGCUAAAUAUCAGAUAAGUAAACUACUUCUCAAAAGUAUACAGCCUACUACCCAGUAGUUUGCUGAAAGACAAUUAAACUUUUAAUAAUGUG